Molecule: ribosomal RNA, 465 nt
Filed under: uncultured Pasteurellaceae bacterium
Lineage: Bacteria; Pseudomonadati; Pseudomonadota; Gammaproteobacteria; Pasteurellales; Pasteurellaceae
Description: bacterial SSU rRNA
Rfam family: Bacterial small subunit ribosomal RNA
Source: RNAcentral
CCUACGGGGGGCAGCAGUGGGGAAUAUUGCGCAAUGGGGGCAACCCUGACGCAGCCAUGCCGCGUGAAUGAAGAAGGCCUUCGGGUUGUAAAGUUCUUUCGGUAUUGAGGAAGGUUGUUGUGUUAAUAGCACGACAAAUUGACGUUAAAUACAGAAGAAGCACCGGCUAACUCCGUGCCAGCAGCCGCGGUAAUACGGAGGGUGCGAGCGUUAAUCGGAAUAACUGGGCGUAAAGGGCACGCAGGCGGACUUUUAAGUGAGGUGUGAAAUCCCCGGGCUUAACCUGGGAAUUGCAUUUCAGACUGGGAGUCUAGAGUACUUUAGGGAGGGGUAGAAUUCCACGUGUAGCGGUGAAAUGCGUAGAGAUGUGGAGGAAUACCGAAGGCGAAGGCAGCCCCUUGGGAAUGUACUGACGCUCAUGUGCGAAAGCGUGGGGAGCAAACAGGAUUAGAUACCCGGGUAGUC